AGUCACCUGGUACUUGCCAUAGGCUGUGUUUUUACAGUGACUGUACAGAAAGAGGAGGCAAAAUAAACCAAGCUGUAUAUACCUCAGCCAGGCCUAUGCCUAGUCUUAUUAUGAAUAGGGAGACAUGG
RNAcentral lists this small nucleolar RNA (128 nucleotides) under Castor canadensis (American beaver). RNAcentral describes it as "Small nucleolar RNA SNORA51 (ENSCCNG00000013588.1)". It matches the Rfam family "Small nucleolar RNA SNORA51". From Rfam's summary of the family: ACA51 is a member of the H/ACA class of snoRNA that guide the sites of modification of uridines to pseudouridines. The record is from Rfam by way of RNAcentral. Lineage: Eukaryota; Metazoa; Chordata; Mammalia; Rodentia; Castoridae.